GACGAACGCUGGCGGCGUGCUUAACACAUGCAAGUCGAACGGAAAGGCCCCUUUGGGGGUACUCGAGUGGCGAACGGGGGAGUAACACGUGAGUAACCUGCCCUGGACUUCGGAAUAACUUCAGGAAACUGGGGCUAAUACCGGAUAGGAAUCCUUGCUGCAUGGUGGGGGUUGGAAAGCUUCGGCGGUUUUGGAUGGACUUGCGGCUUAUCAGCUUGUUGGUGGGGUAGUGGCUUACCAAGGCUUUGACGGGUAGCCGGCCUGAGAGGGCGACCGGCCACAUUGGGACUGAGAUACGGCCCAGACGCCGACGGGAGGCAGCAGUGGGGAAUAUUGCACAAUGGGCGGAAGCCUGAUGCAGCAACGCCGCGUGCGGGAUGACGGCCUUCGGGUUGUAAACCGCUUUCAGCAGGGGCGAAGCUUGUGGUGACGUUACCUGCAGAAGAAGCACCGGCUAACUACGUG
This 465-nucleotide ribosomal RNA is filed under the name uncultured bacterium. Its description in RNAcentral is "partial 16S ribosomal RNA". It matches the Rfam family "Bacterial small subunit ribosomal RNA", at positions 28 to 507 of the family's 1533-position model. The record is from RNAcentral.